GUUGACCUCGAAUCAGGUAGGAAUACCCGCUGAACUUAGGCAUAUCAAUAAGCGGAGGAAAAGAAACCAACAGGGAUUGCCUUAGUAACGGCGAGUGAAA
Molecule: ribosomal RNA, 100 nt
Filed under: Metarhizium rileyi
Lineage: Eukaryota; Fungi; Ascomycota; Sordariomycetes; Hypocreales; Clavicipitaceae
Description: partial 28S ribosomal RNA
Rfam family: Eukaryotic large subunit ribosomal RNA
Source: RNAcentral